RNAcentral lists this microRNA precursor (109 nucleotides) under Caenorhabditis briggsae. RNAcentral describes it as "MIR480 microRNA precursor family". It matches the Rfam family "MIR480 microRNA precursor family". Lineage: Eukaryota; Metazoa; Nematoda; Chromadorea; Rhabditida; Rhabditidae. The record is from Rfam by way of RNAcentral.
UAAUUCGUCUGAUAGAACUUUUUUUAUAAUCAAAAAACCACAUGAAAUUGCACAAAAUCGCACUUUUGCGGUGUUUUUCGAUAAUGAAAAAAGUUCUAUCAGACGAAUC